CAAAGUACUUUGAAGAGAGAGUUAAACAGGGCGUGAAACCGCUAGCUGGUAAACGAGUGGAGCCACGAAGUCGUUUCGUAGAAUAAGGGAUACAAAUUCAGUUGAGGUUAUCGCAAGAUGGCUUUAAUGCAUUUUUGUUUUUCCCUCUAUGUAUGCGUACACUGCAACCAAUUAGACAAUCAAUUGUGGAAACAAUUAGCCGAUAUAGGGAGAAAUCUUUGUAUUGGUUAAUGAAAUGCUUAUAUACUAGCUAUAGGUAGCUUGAUUUAAUCCUUGUGGUUAUCUUGAGUGUCUGAUAUGCUAGUAUGAGAACUACAAUUGAAUACUGAUUGGCACAAUGAAAAUCCAUUCGCAAGAAUGGUAUUUAGAUAACACUACCUGUGUUGUAUGUGUGUACAAGUGUUUAUUAUUAGCGUAAGCUUGAUAGUUUUAAAUUUAGACUAGUGGGCUAUCUUGAAUUUCGGUUCUUGAUGCCUAUUUAGCUUUCUAUCUAAUUGGCUAUCGACUUUGCUAGUAAUGUUAUACUUGUUAUGAUAGCAUACAUGCAACAAUGGGCAAGUUAUAUUAUUAGCAGUGAGUAGGUCGGCUUUCCACACGACCCGUCUUGAAACACGGACCAAGGAGUCUAGUUAAGUAUCGAGUUGAUCGGUCUUGAUUAGGCCAGAAUGGGAAUUUCGUAUUCCCGAUUGAAAGCAAAGUGAAAUCAAAUUAUGUGAUCCUAUCUCCUUCACAAAAGGACUAGGCGCAACAUAUACCCACUCGUAUAACUAUACGCGCAAGUGUUAGUUGGGUGGAGUAAAGAGAUACUUGACUGGUACC
This 819-nucleotide ribosomal RNA is filed under the name Trimeroptes quercus. RNAcentral's name for it is "partial 28S ribosomal RNA". It matches the Rfam family "Eukaryotic large subunit ribosomal RNA", at positions 367 to 816 of the family's 3401-position model. Lineage: Eukaryota; Metazoa; Arthropoda; Arachnida; Trombidiformes; Diptilomiopidae. The record is from RNAcentral.